Molecule: long non-coding RNA, 760 nt
Filed under: Populus trichocarpa (black cottonwood)
Lineage: Eukaryota; Viridiplantae; Streptophyta; Magnoliopsida; Malpighiales; Salicaceae
Description: long non-coding RNA (PTRI_LNC002689)
Source: RNAcentral
UCGUGUGCUGUCAGAGCUAGGGGUGUUCACGGUUCGGUUCGGUUCGGUUCAGACCCAAAAAACCAACCGAACCGAAUUACAUUAAUUUUGUGAAAUAUUAACCGAACCGGACCGAAAACCGGUUCAGACCGAACUGGUCCGGUUCGGUUAAAUCCGGUUUUUUGGAAAAAAAACCGAGAAACCUAAUCCUAUCAUUCGGAUUUUGCAUAUGGCAAGGAGAAAACACAGGCACAGCCGCACAGAAAGAAGAUAGAUUUUACAGCCCUUUUGCAUGAAAGGCACAGAGAAGUUCAAGACAGAAACUUCCUUGAUGGAGCUAGAUGAAAGAUAAUUAUCUUUAAUAUCAAAAACAACUCCUCCAUGGUUUCCAUUGCCAUUAAUCCCAUCGAUCUCAGCCAUUACCACGAAUACAGCUAAGAAUGAAAAGGGAGGAAAGAUAAGAAAAAGAAAAAGAUACAAGUAACAAAGAUGCGCAAAGAUAUUGUCUUUGUGGUAGCUUUGUUCUUCUCCUAUGGAGUAUAUAUAACAAGUACAAGCUUCUGUAAAUUUUCAAGUUACAGAGGCUUAUAAUCUUUGAAUGUGUACGUGAUGUUGAAAGUUGUGACCUUCACAUUGAAAGCUCAUUCAACAACCCACUGGAAAGGAAGAUUGGGAGUGGGUUGAAAGGAAGAUUGGGAAACUAGGAAAGGAAGAAUGAAAAUUAAUUGAGAGGAAGAUUGAGAAUUUUUUUGGAGCAGGCGGCGGCUUUUGUGAGAGGCAG